Molecule: ribosomal RNA, 425 nt
Filed under: uncultured eukaryote
Lineage: Eukaryota
Description: partial 18S ribosomal RNA
Rfam family: Eukaryotic small subunit ribosomal RNA
Source: RNAcentral
AAAGAUUAACCCACGCAUGUUUUACCAUACGCCGAAUGAGAGUGAGCCCCGAAAUAACCCAUUCAAACGCCCAUUUUUUUUUGGUUUUUUUUUCUAACUGGGAAACGGCGGGAAUUUAAAGAUUAAAACCAGCCAACAACCCCCUCAACAUAACGACGGGUGCUUUUUUUAUAACAAGACCAUCCGGCGUCGUGCCAUUUUUUGGUGACUCUGAAUAACUGAGCCGAUCGCGUGGGCUCGUCCCGGCGACGUAUCUUUCAAGUGUCUGCCUUAUCAGGUUUCGUUGGCGGUUUAUGUGACCGCCACGCCUGUAACGGGUAACGGAGGAUCAGGGUCUGACUCCCGAGAGGGAGCGUGAGAAACGGAUACCACAUAUGAGGAAGGCAGCAGGCGCGCAAAUUACCCACUCUCCGCAAAAGGAGGUA